UGGAAAUGAGAAAAGAUUAAUGACCUUGAAAUAUUGUAUUAUGUUCUCUUAAAAUUAAAGCAAUUUGAUACCUUAAGUUUCUGAUCCUGAAUGAACAUGCAUGUCAAUUGCUGUCUUAAUAUAUGUUAAUUUGAUGAUCAGGUCGAAUCAUGCUACAAUAUCUUUUACGCAGUUAUAUGUAUAUUUUUUUUCUUUUCAAGUAAAAUAUUUUUUUUUUUGACAGGAAAAACCAUACGCCUAAUUCAUUGAUACUUAAGCUAGAAUGGCACGGAUAUAUGCCUUCCCUUGCCAAACAAUCGGGCAAGUUAAGGACUUGACAUGCUAGCACCACUCAUUACAAAGAUUCCGUUCACUUAUUUUGAGUAGAAAAACAAGAAAUACUAGAGAAAAACAAAACUAGAGUCCACUAUGGAUCAAAACCAUAGUAAUUAUUCAAGAUAAAAAACUAUAGAAUUACUGUUUCUCCUUACCCUUAUCAGAAGGGCUUGGAGACCUAGUGAAGGAGCCAAAGAUGUCUUCCAUUGAGCUAGUAUUGGCCCGAGCUUCACUAGUAGAAUUAUGCACUUAUGCGACGAAUAUUUUUUUUUUCAUCGCAUGCGUGAGCACUUAUGCGACGAAUAUAAUUUUGUCGCAUAAGUUCAGACUCAUGUGACGAAAAUUUUAUUUCGUCGCAUAAGUUCUGAUUCAUGCGACGAAAUAAAAUAAGUUCUGAUUCAUGCGACGAAAAAUUUAUUUCGUCGCAUAAGUGCUCACUUAUGCGACGAAAAUUUUGUUCGUCGCAUAAGUUUUCACUCAUGCGACGAAAAUUUUUAUUUCGUUGCAUAGGUCAUUUCUUCCAAAAAUUUGAAUUUUUCACUCAUGCGACGAAAUUUUUUAUUUCGUCGCAUAGGUCAUUUUCGCCAAAAAUUUUGAAUCAUUCCGCCAAAACUUUCCCUCCACUUUUCUUCUUCUUCUACCUUCUUCUUCUUCUUCUUCUUCUUCACCACCACCACUUCUUCU
RNAcentral lists this long non-coding RNA (999 nucleotides) under Fragaria vesca (wild strawberry). RNAcentral's name for it is "long non-coding RNA (FVES_LNC004978)". Lineage: Eukaryota; Viridiplantae; Streptophyta; Magnoliopsida; Rosales; Rosaceae. The record is from RNAcentral.